UACCAGACUCCUACGGGAGGCAGCAGUGGGGAAUAUUGCACAAUGGGGGGAACCCUGAUGCAGCGACGCCGCGUGGGCGAGGAAGUAUUUCGGUAUGUAAAGCCCUCUCGGCAGGGAAGAAGAAAUGACGGUACCUGAAUAAGAAGCCCCGGCUAACUACGUGCCAGCAGCCGCGGUAAUACGUAGGGGGCAAGCGUUAUCCGGAUUUACUGGGUGUAAAGGGAGCGUAGACGGCGAAGAAAGUCUGAAGUGAAAGCCCGCGGCUCAACCGCGGAAUGGCUUUGGAAACUUUUUUGCUGGAGUACCGGAGAGGUAAGCGGAAUUCCUAGUGUAGCGGUGAAAUGCGUAGAUAUUAGGAGGAACACCAGUGGCGAAGGCGGCUUACUGGACGGUAACUGACGUUGAGGCUCGAAAGCGUGGGGAGCAAACAGGAUUAGAUACCCCAGUACCG
Molecule: ribosomal RNA, 451 nt
Filed under: uncultured bacterium
Lineage: Bacteria
Description: partial 16S ribosomal RNA
Rfam family: Bacterial small subunit ribosomal RNA
Source: RNAcentral